Molecule: ribosomal RNA, 500 nt
Filed under: uncultured bacterium
Lineage: Bacteria
Description: partial 16S ribosomal RNA
Rfam family: Bacterial small subunit ribosomal RNA
Source: RNAcentral
AUUGAACGCUGGCGGCAUGCCUUACACAUGCAAGUCGAACGGCAGCACGGGAGCAAUCCUGGUGGCGAGUGGCGAACGGGUGAGUAAUAUAUCGGAACGUGCCCAGCAGUGGGGGAUAACUGCUCGAAAGAGCAGCUAAUACCGCAUACGACCUGAGGGUGAAAGCGGGGGAUCGCAAGACCUCGCGCUAUUGGAGCGGCCGAUAUCAGAUUAGCUAGUUGGUGGGGUAAAAGCUCACCAAGGCGACGAUCUGUAGCUGGUCUGAGAGGACGACCAGCCACACUGGGACUGAGACACGGCCCAGACUCCGACGGGAGGCAGCAGUGGGGAAUGUUGGACAAUGGGCGCAAGCCUGAUCCAGCCAUGCCGCGUGCGGGAAGAAGGCCUUCGGGUUGUAAACCGCUUUUGUCAGGGAAGAAACGGCUCCUACUAAUACUGGGGGCUAAUGACGGUACCUGAAGAAUAAGCACCGGCUAACUACGUGCCAGCCGCCGCAGUAA